RNAcentral lists this ribosomal RNA (459 nucleotides) under uncultured bacterium. Its description in RNAcentral is "partial 16S ribosomal RNA". It matches the Rfam family "Bacterial small subunit ribosomal RNA", at positions 338 to 795 of the family's 1533-position model. The record is from RNAcentral.
CCUACGGGGCGCAGCAGUGAGGAAUAUUGGUCAAUGGGAGGAAUCCUGAACCAGCCAUGCCGCGUGAGGGAUGAAGGUACAGAGUAUCGUAAACCUCUUUUGUCAGGGAACAAAGGUGGGGACGUGUCCCCGGAUGAGUGUACCUGAAGAAAAAGCAUCGGCUAACCCCGUGCCAGCGGCCGCGGUAAUACGGGGGAUGCGAGCGUUACCCGGAUUUAUUGGGUUUAAAGGGUGCGCAGGCGGUCUGUUAAGUCAGCGGUAAAGGCCCGGGGCUCAACCCCGGCCCGCCGUUGAAACUGGCAGGCUAGAGUGGGAGAGAGGUAUGCGGAAUGCGCGGUGUAGCGGUGAAAUGCAUAGAUAUCGCGCAGAACUCCGAUUGCGAAGGCAGCAUGCCGGCUCCACACUGACGCUGAGGCACGAAAGCGUGGGUAUCGAACAGGAUUAGAUACCCGAGUAGUC